CUGGAGCUCGGACGCGAGUUCU
This 22-nucleotide small nuclear RNA is filed under the name Arabidopsis thaliana (thale cress). RNAcentral describes it as "snRNA_08946". Lineage: Eukaryota; Viridiplantae; Streptophyta; Magnoliopsida; Brassicales; Brassicaceae. The record is from RNAcentral.